CACGACGGUCCUCGGAAGUCUUUCUCGUCGCACUAUGGAUGGUCCAGAUGCAGAUUUUGUCCAAAAUGAGUAAUGUAGCACUGUGUGGAUUUUACACUCUCACCUGUGACCAGCUCCCCUCCUCUGACGCCGAUUUCUGCAGAAGCACAAGAAACUUUCCCACCGCAAUAUCCUGACCUAGAAGCUCAGGAUCGGAUACAUUCCCUACUGAUGGAGAAGAUCCAUUAACCAAUCAUUUGAUAAACUGCCCCAGUCUGGCCUUCUCUUUCUUCCCAAACAGACGUCCGAUGGAGGAUUUGAUGCCCUUCU
Long non-coding RNA from Sinocyclocheilus anshuiensis, 309 nucleotides. RefSeq lists it as uncharacterized. NCBI's taxonomy places the organism in Eukaryota, Metazoa, Chordata, Actinopteri, Cypriniformes, Cyprinidae. The record is from RefSeq and is a predicted model, not a curated record. The transcript is spliced from 4 exons.